This 417-nucleotide ribosomal RNA is filed under the name uncultured bacterium. RNAcentral's name for it is "bacterial SSU rRNA". It matches the Rfam family "Bacterial small subunit ribosomal RNA", at positions 770 to 1185 of the family's 1533-position model. The record is from RNAcentral.
UAACCGGAUUAGAUACCCUGGUAGUCCAUGCCGUAAACGUUGGGCACUAGGUGUGGGGGACAUUCCACGUUUUCCGCGCCGUAGCUAACGCAUUAAGUGCCCCGCCUGGGGAGUACGGCCGCAAGGCUAAAACUCAAAGAAAUUGACGGGGGCCCGCACAAGCGGCGGAGCAUGCGGAUUAAUUCGAUGCAACGCGAAGAACCUUACCAAGGCUUGACAUGAACCGGAAAGGCGUAGAAAUACGUCCCCCACUUGUGGUCGGUUUACAGGUGGUGCAUGGUUGUCGUCAGCUCGUGUCGUGAGAUGUUGGGUUAAGUCCCGCAACGAGCGCAACCCUCGUUCUAUGUUACCAGCACGUGAUGGUGGGGACUCAUAGGAGACUGCCGGGGUCAACUCGGAGGAAGGUGGGGAUGACGU